Sapajus apella (tufted capuchin) is the source of this 372-nucleotide long non-coding RNA. RefSeq lists it as uncharacterized. Lineage: Eukaryota; Metazoa; Chordata; Mammalia; Primates; Cebidae. The transcript is spliced from 3 exons. The record is from RefSeq and is a predicted model, not a curated record.
GGCUAUCAUUUUGAAGAACUACAGAAUUCCUAAGGCAGUCAGUCCAAAGAAUAAAUUAUCUGAAAAGGCUUCAGCUGCAGAUUAAAGAACCAUGCCGGUUGCUGUGACUCCAAACAGAGAGGAAAGAAAUCCUCCCCGAGCCCCAUGGGUUUACAGAAGUCUAUCAAUCACUCUGUCAGUCUUCCGGAUCAUAAUUCAAGUUGCUAUCCCCAAUUUUGUUGGAUAUAUCAGAUCUACUCCAGUUCCAUAGAUGAUCAGUGUGCUUUUUUCCUAGUUUUAAAGACACCAAAGUGGAAAACUGGUGGAUAUUAUAAGGAUACCCUAAAAAGUACAUUGUUGCCAUGACAAUAAAAAGGAGAGCAAAUGUCCAAA